CUCCUACGGGAGGCAGCAGUGGGGAAUAUUGGACAAUGGGCGAAAGCCUGAUCCAGCCAUGCCGCGUGAGUGACGAAGGUCUUCGGAUUGUAAAGCUCUUUUACCAGGGACGAUAAUGACGGUACCUGGAGAAUAAGCCCCGGCUAACUUCGUGCCAGCAGCCGCGGUAAUACGAAGGGGGCUAGCGUUGUUCGGAAUUACUGGGCGUAAAGCGCACGUAGGCGGAUUUGUAAGUUAGGGGUGAAAUCCCGGGGCUCAACCCUGGAACUGCGCCCGAAACUGCACGGCUUGAGUCCGGAAGAGGGUUGCGGAAUUGUCGGUGUAGAGGUGAAAUUCGUAGAUAUCGGCAAGAACACCUGUGGCGAAGGCGGCAACCUGGGUCGAGACUGACGCUGAGGUACGAAAGCGUGGGGAGCAAACAGGAUUAGAUACCCUGGUAGUCCACGCCGUAAACGAUGUUCACUAGGUGAUGGGUUGCACGCGCGACUUAUUGCCGUAAGCUAACGCGUUAAGUGAACCGCCUGGGGAGUACGGUCGCAAGAUUAAAACUCAAAGGAAUUGACGG
Molecule: ribosomal RNA, 565 nt
Filed under: uncultured bacterium
Lineage: Bacteria
Description: bacterial SSU rRNA
Rfam family: Bacterial small subunit ribosomal RNA
Source: RNAcentral